GUGAGGACUGGUGGAGCGCUAAGAAGUGAGAAUGCCGGUAUGAGUAACGAUUCGUGGUGAGAAUCCACGACGCCUAUUGGGGAAGGUUUCCUGGGCAAGGUUCGUCCACCCAGGGUUAGUCAGGACCUAAGGCGAGGCGGAUACGCGUAGUCGAUGGACAACAGGUUAAUAUUCCUGUACUUUCUAUAAUAGUGAUGGAGUGACGGAGAAGGAUAGGCUUACCUCUUACUGGAUUGAGGGGCAAGUAGCAACUGGAAAUUGUAGGCAAAUCCGCAAUUUGUAACCGGGAGCUGUGACGCAUAGGCGCAAGCUGAAUUAGUUGAUUUCAUACUUCCAAGAAAAGCUUCUAAACUUAAUAUUAUGGAAACCUGUACCGAGAACGGACACACGUCCCCAAGAUGAGUAUUCUAAGGCGAGCGAGAAAACUAGUGUUAAGGAACUCUGCAAAAUGACCCCGUAAGUUCGCAAGAAGGGGUGCUCACGCAAGUGAGCCACAGAAAAUUAUGAGGGGCAACUGUUUAUCAAAAACACAGCUCUCUGCUAAACCGCAAGGUGAUGUAUAGGGGGUGAAGCCUGCCCAGUGCCCGAAGGUUAAGUGGAUGCGUUAGCUUUAUGCGAAGCGUUGAAAUGAAGCCCGGGUGAACGGCGGCCGUAACUAUAACGGUCCUAAGGUAGCGAAAUUCCUUGUCGGCUAAAUACUGACCUGCACGAAAGGCGCAAUGAUCUCUCAACUGUCUCAACACUAGACUCGGUGAAAUUAUGGUCCCAGUGAAAACGCUGGGUACCCGCAUCAAGACGAAAAGACCCCAUGGAGCUUUACUACAACUUCGUAUUGAAAUUUGGUCUAACAUGUGUAGGAUAGGUGGGAGACUUUGAAGCUAAGACGCCAGUCUUAGUGGAGUCAACCUUGAAAUACCACCCUUGUUAUAUUGAGUUUCUAACCUGCCAUCAUCAUCGGGUGGGGGGACAGUGCGUGGUGGGUAGUUUGACUGGGGCGGUCGCCUCCUAAAGAGUAACGGAGGCGUUCAAAGGUACACUCAAUACGGUCAGAAACCGUAUGCAGAGCGCAAAGGUAGAAGUGUGCUUGACUGUGAGACUUACAAGUCGAGCAGGUGCGAAAGCAGGACUUAGUGAUCCGGCUGUACAUUGUGCAAUGGCAGUCGCUCAACGGAUAAAAGUUACCCUGGGGAUAACAGGCUUAUCUUGCCCAAGAGAUCACAUCGACGGCAAGGUUUGGCACCUCGAUGUCGGCUCAUCGCAUCCUGGAGCUGGAGUCGGUUCCAAGGGUUGGGCUGUUCGCCCAUUAAAGCGGUACGCGAGCUGGGUUCAGAACGUCGUGAGACAGUUCGGUCCCUAUCUGAUGUGGGCGUUGGAAUAUUGAUGAGAGCCGUUUUUAGUACGAGAGGACCGAAACGGACGUACCACUGGUGUUCCAGUUGUUCCGCCAGGAGCAUAGCUGGGUAGCUAAGUACGGAAAGGAUAACCGCUGAAAGCAUCUAAGUGGGAAGCCUCCUCAAAGAUUAGUAUUCCCUUGA
Molecule: ribosomal RNA, 1535 nt
Filed under: Mycoplasma simbae ATCC 49888
Lineage: Bacteria; Bacillati; Mycoplasmatota; Mollicutes; Mycoplasmatales; Mycoplasmataceae
Description: bacterial LSU rRNA
Rfam family: Bacterial large subunit ribosomal RNA
Source: RNAcentral